GACUGAAUUGUUCAGAGAGGCAUAUGAUUUUUAACCCCAGGGGGAGUGUGUGUAUAUAACCGAAAUGAAUAUUUAGUUAUGGGCCCCUGGGGUGGAGCAUUUGGGGAGCAGGGUGGGCCAGUGCUCCACUCCACAGUUUAGCAGUUUUCUUGGGAGACAUAGAUCCAGGCCAGGGUUUCUGGACUGUCUCCAACCCACUGCUCAGCUGCAGCAGUGGGAAUAAACCCCUCCCUGCUAGGCAGGUAAGGGGAGAAUGUUU
Molecule: non-coding RNA, 259 nt
Organism: Pelobates cultripes (western spadefoot toad)
Lineage: Eukaryota; Metazoa; Chordata; Amphibia; Anura; Pelobatidae
Source: the annotation of a GenBank genome assembly